AUGGAUGGGAGAGCACGCCUCGCCUGUCGAGCACAGAUGUUCGUGAGGCAGGGCAGGGGGUGGGACGAACAGAUGGGUUGCGAGGAGGUGGCGGGAGCGUUCCUUGGCAAGUGUGGCUGCUCACCACGCCUCACGGUCUCCCGUGGUGUUGUCAAAUGGUUGACAAGAGAGGUGCACAGAUGCACCGCUCCACCCAUCUGUGCUCGAGUUAAUGCAGCGGUGGCGCGGACCCUGGAAACCCAUUCGAACAGUGGAGAGAUGGCGCCCAGCAGCACCAUGCCGCCAAGCUCUAAUCUCACCGAAUCGUCUGGCUCCACAUUGAUAGUAGGCGGUGUGCAGGUUCUUAGUGACGUCGUCGGGCUUGACGAUCUGUUUUUCCUGAUCACUCUUCUGGGGUUGCAAGCGUCGAUGACGAUGCAAGUGUGCUGGGGCAAGGACCUGUCGUUGGUGCAGAUGGGUGAUGUUGGGGUGGAGCUUCCUGUUUUCUCUUGUGAAGAGGAGACGGCGGAGUUUAAUCCUUGCAUGGCGCAUGCAGUGCAAGUAGAGGCAUGCGAGGUGGAGGAGGGGGACCACAUGUCGGGGACUGGUACUAGGGAUACAUCAACAACGCUAGCACAGCACCGGGGCUUGGCGCAGCAAGGGGGGAGGGAGCAAGAACAAAGCUUGCUGGUUGAGAUGGGGCGGAGAUCUAGGAACUACUCGGCUGCAGCUCAACCGGAUCUUGCUUCUUGCUCUUCAAUGGCUGCUGCCAAGAAGAUGCCCGUCCUGAACACCCCCUACAAUGCCGGUAUGAUCCAAACGAUUGCCGGGGAGUGGAACCCCAACAUCAUGUCUGUUUUCGCGGGGGUAGGGAUGGAGCAGUUUUGCAAGCUCAAGGCUUUAGGCAAUAAUAAUCGCAUAUUUUCCAUGUCCCUGCUCGCUAGGAUAGAUCCUAAAACUAUGAAGAUGGACAUGGGGGACGGAAACUUUGUUGUGAUUGACUCUAGGGAGGUAGCAAAAUGCAUAGGAUUGAACCCUAGCGGGAAAAAGAUCGAUAUCCGGGCUGGUGCUUGCUUGCCAGACCGGGAAGAGUUACUAGGGAAGUUUCAUGCCAUCUUAGAGACUGGCAUGCCCAAAACAUGCAAGAUUCCAAUUGUGAGAGUUAAAAAGAUAGUGCAAAACACUAGCAAAGUAGCAAUCGUGGGGGCGGAGAGAGAGAGAGAGAAAAUGAUGGCCGCGUGCACAAUCCUCGCAGCAUCCACAUUUCUUCUUCCUAGAGGAGCCCAUCCGAAGAUUUCGAAUGAGCUGUUGCCUGUUCUUGCUGAGCCGAACAAAAUAUCGGAAUAUGAUUUGUGUGACUACGUGGUGGAGGGGUUGAGAGAGGCUGCAGCAAAACUGAGGGAUGAUUUGUUGCAUGACCCAUCUCAGCUUUCUCUUCAGGGGUGCCUCCUUGUUCCUCAGAUCAUCUUCUGUGACUACCAUGAGCAUGGCAUGGAAGGGCGUGAGCAGCUACCACUUCCUCGGAUGGCGUCGUACUCCGAUCUGUUGAUGAAGCUUCAGAUACGCAAGCACGCAACCAAGAACGGAGUGGAUGCAGGCUUCGAGAUUCUGGCUGCACUUAAGGAGGCAGUGGCACAUCAGUUCAAGAAAAGGGAGGAGGAGUUCUUGAAGAUGGUGGACGAUGCCAAGGAGAAGGUGCUGGCGGAAAUACGGUGCAAGACGGAAGCCAAACGACAGAGAGAACUAGAAGACACACUAGAGGAUUUCAUGGACAGGGUGAAGAGGCAGGCUCCAAUGGCGGUGGCGUUCCCCAACGUCACACCGUCUUCUCAUGUGCCAAGAAGCAAAAUAGAUAUCGUGCAAGACCUAGCUACUACUUCACGUGAAGCUGCUCAAUCUCUGAUGGUUGCUGUGGUCCGUAACGAGGAAACACGUAGCCCCCCAGCUGGGGAAACAGGUAUUUCACUAGCCUCUGGAAGCAAGAACCAUAACGUGCAUGUGCCUCCGAUGGAGCAUGGAAAAGUGGGUGGGCGCAUGUGUACUAGGCAGAUGACAAUGCAGGAGGCACUGGGUGCGGAUCGACGACAGACCAAGUUGUGCCAGUCGUACACCAAGAAUGUGACCAAGUUAUCUAGUGUGCUUGAAGGUGCAGGGCUGGGCGUUGCUAAUGCAGCUGGCAUUGCGACGCUUACUCCCAUAGGAAACAAGAGGAUUGCGCUCCCAGAUGGUGGCCAACAGAGUACCCCUGGUCCUCUAGCUAUGGUUCCAGCAAUGCCUCCGUCGCUACCGCCACCUCCGCCGGAAUAUGGAUAUUCACCAUCUGAGUUGGAGCUUCACCAUGUUUUUUAUCCGGAUUACGUGUGCGCUGACUUCUAUGAGUCCAUCUUGCUGCUCACCAACCCAAAUGAACUAAGCAGGACUUGGUUUGAGCACCACUCCCCUACUGUGCUGAGGAUAGAUGGUCACAAGAUUAAGUACCAGUUCAGUUUGCAUGGAGAGAUGAUGUACACUAGACUUGAUGCUUGGGUGCGUGGGUGGAAUGAGAGGGAGAGGAGAAUGAUGGAGAGGGUCCACCUGCCAAACUGGAGGGCUCUGGCCCCACCAGAUGCUGUGGUGAGUGCAUAUUCAAUAAUGCAUCAGCUUAGUGUGGGGAAUGCUAUGUUGAUUGGCUUGCUUGCUGCGCCAAACCUUGGGUUCAGGCUUGCCACUUGUCGUUUGAUCAUGUUCCCCGUCUGGCUCAAUCACGAGUGGUGCUUGUACGUCUUCGACAUGGAGCGCACCAGGCUCACGGUCUUUGAUCCCUUGUACACACAGCUGUCUGCGCACGUGUACGAGGGGAAGCAUGGGGGGACAGUGCACAUGCUUCUAAGAGUAAUGCAAAUCCUUGGGACGAUACUGGUGGACGGUUGGCACAUGGACAUUUCUGCAUGGACCGUGGUGUACAACCAGGACAUGCAUGUGGCAUGCGGCAGCGGUGAAUCUCCUGGCUACCUUGCUUAUUAUGCUGACAACUACAAUGGUCACGAACUGGAGCAAGCUGUCCCAGUGGUUGGUCUCCCCGGGCGGCACCAGAGGAUGCUGUAUGAGACAAUUGCCUGCCACGGAACACUACUCCUCGCCCAGGAUUCAUGGAGCAGGUGGAGGAGGAGGAGUAGGAUCCAGUUGCCAUGCCAUGAACUUAACCGUGUAUCAUUUUGUAACUGGCUUGUUGCUGGUUCUGCCUGUCAAUGUCACGUGCUGGACGUGGCAGAUGGGUGCUUCACAAUUUGCAAGAUGCAUAGUUGGGUGAACUGUGCGACUGGAUUGGUACCUAACAAACUAGUGAGCGUACCUAGUUGGCUAGGAGACGUGUAUCUCUGCGGCUCCACAUGUACGCGCCAGCCAAAUGGGUGCCGCGAGCCGCACCAGCCACAAAAUUUGAAAGAAUCAGACCGUUGGGAGGGAGCCGUUGGCUAUAUAAUGACCAUGCCAGGCACCCAGCGCCACCAUCCUCUAACACACACAUCCAACGGCAAUAUGGGAGGUUGCAACUUCUACGAGUGGCACGACGAUCCCAUUGAAGAUCCCUUCCUGAAGCAACUACUGAUUGAUUUGCGAGACAAGGUUCGCCUGCUGGAGAGGAUGAAUUCUGAACUACACAGGGGAGCGAUGGCUGUGCAAGAGAGGCAGGUUGUCCAGGCAGAGAAUCGUCUAGCUCCAGUAGCUCGUCUGCCUGCGACUGCAAGGUGUGGCUACUGGAAGAAUGUGGCCCUGUUUGUGUUGGUUGUGGCACUGGUGUGGAAUGUUUUAUUUGUCUAG
RNAcentral lists this ribosomal RNA (3777 nucleotides) under Triticum aestivum (bread wheat). RNAcentral describes it as "partial small subunit ribosomal RNA". Lineage: Eukaryota; Viridiplantae; Streptophyta; Magnoliopsida; Poales; Poaceae. The record is from RNAcentral.